AUUGCAUCGGGAGUUUUCUUUUCAUCUUUCCUUAUCCAUUUGUUGUUUUUAUUUUGCUUUUUGCUUUUUGGUUUCUCCUUCCUUUUCUUUCUUUUCUUUCUUUCUUUCUUUCUUUUCUUUUCUUUUUUUUUUUUGAUUCUAUUUUCUUUCCACAGAGCGUCGAGCUCAAACCCGUUUUUCGCGAUUGAGAAAGGCAAAAAAAUGACUAGCAUAUUUCUUUAAAUGUAACCCAAUCCAUAACAAGGACUUCGUCUAGGAAAAGAAACCAGCAACUCUUGGCAUAUCCCAUAAAAAAAUAUAAAUGG
RNAcentral lists this small RNA (305 nucleotides) under Histoplasma capsulatum. RNAcentral describes it as "hypothetical RNA". The record is from RNAcentral. Lineage: Eukaryota; Fungi; Ascomycota; Eurotiomycetes; Onygenales; Ajellomycetaceae. RNAcentral also lists the same sequence under 1 other name.